UACGUAGGUGGCAAGCGUUGUCCGGAAUUAUUGGGCGUAAAGCGCGCGCAGGCGGUCCUUUAAGUCUGAUGUGAAAGCCCACGGCUCAACCGUGGAGGGUCAUUGGAAACUGGGGGACUUGAGUGCAGAAGAGGAGAGUGGAAUUCCACGUGUAGCGGUGAAAUGCGUAGAGAUGUGGAGGAACACCAGUGGCGAAGGCGGCUCACUGGUCCAUUACUGACGCUGAGGUGCGAAAGCGUGGGGAGCAAACAGG
This 253-nucleotide ribosomal RNA is filed under the name uncultured bacterium. RNAcentral describes it as "partial 16S ribosomal RNA". It matches the Rfam family "Bacterial small subunit ribosomal RNA", at positions 524 to 776 of the family's 1533-position model. The record is from RNAcentral.